CCUACGGGUGGCAGCAGUGAGGAAUAUUGGUCAAUGGACGCAAGUCUGAACCAGCCAUGCCGCGUGGAGGAUGAAGGUUUUCGGAUUGUAAACUCCUUUUGUUAGAGAAGAUAAUGACGGUAUCUAACGAAUAAGCACCGGCUAACUCCGUGCCAGCAGCCGCGGUAAUACGGAGGAUGCGAGCGUUAUCCGGAUUUAUUGGGUUUAAAGGGUGCGUAGGCGGACGCUUAAGUCAGCGGUAAAAUUGCGGGGCUCAACCUCGUCGAGCCGUUGAAACUGGGUGCCUUGAGUGGGCGAGAAGUACGCGGAAUGCGUGGUGUAGCGGUGAAAUGCAUAGAUAUCACGCAGAACUCCGAUUGCGAAGGCAGCGUACCGGCGCCCAACUGACGCUGAAGCACGAAGGCGUGGGUAUCGAACAGGAUUAGAUACCCGAGUAGUC
Molecule: ribosomal RNA, 439 nt
Filed under: uncultured bacterium
Lineage: Bacteria
Description: partial 16S ribosomal RNA
Rfam family: Bacterial small subunit ribosomal RNA
Source: RNAcentral